UACUCUUGACGACGUUAGAUCAGUUGCCCAUGAUAUGAUAGCUUCUCGUGACUCAAAAAUUUGAUCAAUUGUGAAGGCUUCAGUUAAAUCUAUAAAUACUGGUUGUGUCUUUUCCAUCCCUAUUUCAAAAAAAAAAAUUAACAACUAUCGGAUGUUUGAAAUUCCUAGGUCAGAAUAUUAACUCCUGGAAAUUUUAAAAAACAGAAAUUUCCAGUGAAGGAAUAUAACUACUGGAUUUUUCAAAAUUUUGAAAUUUCCGCUAGCUACCGGAAAUUUGAAAUUUCUGGUAUUGUAAUUUUAACUACCGGAAAAUUUAAUGAGCAAAUUUCUGGUAUUGUAAUUUUAACUACCGGAAAUUUCAAUGAGCAAAUUUCCGUUACCUAUCGGAAAUUUAAUUACGAAAAAUUACCUACUGAAAAUUUAGUUGAAGGGGUGAGAUUUUGAAGUAAUUUUUUUUUACCACUCACAUAAAUGAAAUUUUUAAGGAUAAUAUUAGAUUUUGAACAAAUUAAAAGGUAGAAGUUUAAUUGAGAGAGUACAAAAGCUAACUUUCUAAAAGUUACUCUUAUUUAAAACGAUGGAUAAGCCUACAUACAAUGCCGGUCAUUGGGUAAGGCUGCUAAAGCCAUUAUCUUUGGGCCCUUCUUCAUGAAUGGGUCAAUAUCUUAUUAUGAUUUUUUAUUUUAAAAAAUAGGUGUUUUAAUCUAUUAAGAAAAAUAAUUCAAUAUAUAUAUAUAUAUAUAUAUAUAUAUAUUAAAAAUAUUGAAAUAUGGUUGUUAAUGAUGUAUCCAUGAUUAUUGAGUAAAAAAAUAUAGCAGUGAUAUAUCAUGCAAAAUCUCUCCACGGUUAUGUGCAGGGGCGGAGCUUCCUUGGGACUAAGGGGGCCGCGGCCACCCCAAAAAAAAAAAUUUAUAGGCACAAUGACUAAAAUGUCCAUCUUAAAAAUAAAAAAUUACAAACAUACCUAAACCUAAUUCAGUUUUCUCUUUCUUCCUCUCUCUUCCAUCCAGCCUUCCUCUCUCCUUCUCUCCCUUUUGCUUACAAAUUCCAGCCUUCCUCUCUCCCUCCUCCAUAAUCAGAUUCAUGAAUCAAGACAAACGUGCGGUCGUCUCUCUACGAAAUCGCUCGUCUGCUCGCUCGCGAAAUCGCUCGCUGCGGCCAAUCGUUCGUCUGCCUGACUGCCUCUGUCCGUGGCCAUUCGUCGCUCCCUCUCUACUCGCCGCAACCUCAUCAGUCAUCUGUCUCUAGAUCUCGUUGCUGCUUUGUUCAAAAUGUUCGAAUUUCUAUUUUGUUAUUGCUGAUUGUUGUUAAUUAGUGUUUUUUUGUUAGGUUUGAUUUUUGUUAGAAUAAAAUUUAAAGCUUAUAUUGUUAUUGUUGAGUUUAGAGUUUUGAUUUGGAGUUUGAAAUUUUGAUUUGGAGUUUUAAUUAGCUGAGUUUUGUUUAGAGUUUUUGUGUUGCACAUAAGGUGUUUGAGUUUAUGUCAAUAUAAAGUGUUUGAAUUUUUUUUGUCGCACAUAAGGUGUUUGAUUUUAUGUGUGUGAGUUUUUUUUUUUUGCACACAAGGUGUUUGAGUUUUGUUGCAUUUUUGUUUGAGUUUUUUUGUCUUAUAAAGUUUUUUUUUUUUUUGUUGAAUAUAAGAUGUUUUAUGUUUAUUGAAUUGAUUGAUUUAAAUGAGUUUGUGAGAACUAAGAAGAGUAGAAGAGUAGAAGAAUUGAUUCUUUUUUUCAUGAGGAAAAUUUGUGAGAGUGAAUUAUGUCGGCCACCCCAAAUUUUUCGCUCAAGUUCCGCCACUGGUUAUGUGUAUUACUUAUAUUAAAGGAGAAAUGUUUUAUUAUAG
Molecule: long non-coding RNA, 1837 nt
Filed under: Cicer arietinum (chickpea)
Lineage: Eukaryota; Viridiplantae; Streptophyta; Magnoliopsida; Fabales; Fabaceae
Description: long non-coding RNA (CARI_LNC002375)
Source: RNAcentral